GAUGAACGCUGGCGGCGUGCCUAAUACAUGCAAGUCGAGCGAACAGACGAGGAGCUUGCUCCUCUGACGUUAGCGGCGGACGGGUGAGUAACACGUGGAUAACCUACCUAUAAGACUGGGAUAACUUCGGGAAACCGGAGCUAAUACCGGAUAAUAUAUUGAACCGCAUGGUUCAAUAGUGAAAGACGGUUUUGCUGUCACUUAUAGAUGGAUCCGCGCCGCAUUAGCUAGUUGGUAAGGUAACGGCUUACCAAGGCAACGAUGCGUAGCCGACCUGAGAGGGUGAUCGGCCACACUGGAACUGAGACACGGUCCAGACUCCUACGGGAGGCAGCAGUAGGGAAUCUUCCGCAAUGGGCGAAAGCCUGACGGAGCAACGCCGCGUGAGUGAUGAAGGUCUUCGGAUCGUAAAACUCUGUUAUUAGGGAAGAACAGAUGUGUGAGUAACUAUGCACGUCUUGACGGUACCUAAUCAGAAAGCCACGGCUAACUACGUG
RNAcentral lists this ribosomal RNA (497 nucleotides) under uncultured bacterium. RNAcentral describes it as "partial 16S ribosomal RNA". It matches the Rfam family "Bacterial small subunit ribosomal RNA", at positions 28 to 507 of the family's 1533-position model. The record is from RNAcentral.